Molecule: unclassified non-coding RNA, 334 nt
Filed under: soil metagenome
Description: partial contains 5.8S ribosomal RNA, internal transcribed spacer 2, and large subunit ribosomal RNA
Rfam family: 5.8S ribosomal RNA (bases 1-120)
Source: RNAcentral
GAUGAAGAACGUAGCGAAAUGCGAUAAGUAAUGUGAAUUGCACAAUUCAGUGAAUCAUCGAAUCUUUGAACGCACAUUGCGCCCGCCAGUAUUCUGGCGGGCAUGCCUGUUCGAGCGUCAUUUCAACCAUCAAGCCCCGGGCUUGUGUUGGGGACCUGCGGCUGCCGCAGGCCCUGAAAUGCAGUGGCGGGCUCGCUGUCACUCCGAGCGUAGUAGUUACAUCUCGCUCUGGGCGUGCUGCGGGUUCCGGCCGUUAAAAGCCUUAUUUACCCAAGGUUGACCUCGGAUCAGGUAGGAAGACCCGCUGAACUUAAGCAUAUCAAUAAGCGGAGGA